CCUAAACCUCCAAACCAAAACCUAAACUUCUCCUCUACCUCAGCCUCCACUCUCCCUCUCCGUUUUCUUAUUCCCUUCUUCCACAGUAGUGGCGUUAAUUUAAAUCUGCAAGAAAGACAGAGUAGUAAGAGGGUAUUCCCGCUGCUUCUCAUUUAUGGACAAAAAUUUUAACUCGUGGGGUGCUCAAGAGAAAAGUGCCUUUGAGAAAUUUCAAUCUCUUCCAAUGCCUAACUCAUAUAUAGUGAUUACGGAGAGUGCUUCAUUAUUCUCGGAUGCGG
Nicotiana tabacum (common tobacco) is the source of this 278-nucleotide non-coding RNA. The record is from RefSeq and is a predicted model, not a curated record. NCBI's taxonomy places the organism in Eukaryota, Viridiplantae, Streptophyta, Magnoliopsida, Solanales, Solanaceae.